AGUGAACGCUGGCGGUAGGCCUAACACAUGCAAGUCGAACGGCAGCACAGUAAGAGCUUGCUCUUACGGGUGGCGAGUGGCGGACGGGUGAGGAAUACAUCGGAAUCUACUUUUUCGUGGGGGAUAACGUAGGGAAACUUACGCUAAUACCGCAUACGACCUACGGGUGAAAGCAGGGGAUCUUCGGACCUUGCGCGAUUGAAUGAGCCGAUGUCGGAUUAGCUAGUUGGCGGGGUAAAGGCCCACCAAGGCGACGAUCCGUAGCAGGUCUGAGAGGAUGAUCAGCCACACUGGAACUGAGACACGGUCCAGACUCCUACGGGAGGCAGCAGUGGGGAAUAUUGGACAAUGGGCGCAAGCCUGAUCCAGCCAUACCGCGUGGGUGAAGAAGGCCUUAGGGUUGUAAAGCCCUUUUGUUGGGGAAGAAAAGCAGCAGGUUAAUACCCCGCUGUUCUGACGGUACCAAAAGAAUAAGCACCGGCUAACUUCGUG
Molecule: ribosomal RNA, 492 nt
Filed under: uncultured bacterium
Lineage: Bacteria
Description: partial 16S ribosomal RNA
Rfam family: Bacterial small subunit ribosomal RNA
Source: RNAcentral